This 448-nucleotide ribosomal RNA is filed under the name uncultured bacterium. RNAcentral's name for it is "bacterial SSU rRNA". It matches the Rfam family "Bacterial small subunit ribosomal RNA", at positions 355 to 825 of the family's 1533-position model. The record is from RNAcentral.
UGGGGAAUAUUGGACAAUGGGCGCAAGCCUGAUCCAGCCAUGCCGCGUGAGUGAUGAAGGCCUUAGGGUUGUAAUGCUCUUUUUGGCGGGGACGAUAAUGACGGUACCCGCAGAAUGAGCCCCGGCUAACUUCGUGCCAGCAGCCGCGGUAAUACGAAGGGGGCUAGCGUUGUUCGGAAUUACUGGGCGUAAAGCGCACGUAGGCGGAUCGGCAAGUCAGGGGUGAAAUCCCGGGGCUCAACCUCGGAACUGCCUCUGAUACUGCCAGUCUAGAGUCCGGAAGAGGUGGGUGGAAUUCCUAGUGUAGAGGUGAAAUUCGCAGAUAUUAGGAAGAACACCGGUGGCGAAGGCGGCCCACUGGUCCGGUACUGACGCUGAGGUGCGAAAGCGUGGGGAGCAAACAGGAUUAGAUACCCCUGUAGUCCCUGAGCGGGCUGGCAAGGCGCAU